CCUACGGGAGGCAGCAGUCGGGAAUUUUGGGCAAUGGGCGAAAGCCUGACCCAGCAACGCCGCGUGAAGGAUGAAAUCCCUCGGGAUGUAAACUUCGCAAGAACGGGAAGAAUAAGCCGGUGCCAAUAACACCGGCGAUGACGGUACUGUUUGUAAGCCCCGGCUAACUCCGUGCCAGCAGCCGCGGUAAUACGGGGGGAGCAAGCGUUGUUCGGAUUUACUGGGCGUAAAGGGCGCGUAGGCGGCCACCGCAAGUCGACUGUGAAAUCUCCGGGCUUAGCUCGGAAAGGUCAGCCGAUACUGCGGGGCUAGAGUGCAGAAGGGGCAACUGGAAUUCUCGGUGUAGCGGUGAAAUGCGUAGAUAUCGAGAGGAACACCUGCGGCGAAGGCGGGUUGCUGGGCUGACACUGACGCUGAGGCGCGAAAGCUAGGGGAGCGAACGGGAUUAGAUACCCCGGUAGUCCUAGCCUUAAACGAUGAAUGCUUGGUGUCUGGGGUUUUAUAGUCCCCGGGUGCCGUCGCUAACGCUUUAAGCAUUCCGCCUGGGGAGUACGGUCGCAAGACUGAAACUCAAAGGAAUUGACGG
Molecule: ribosomal RNA, 586 nt
Filed under: uncultured bacterium
Lineage: Bacteria
Description: bacterial SSU rRNA
Rfam family: Bacterial small subunit ribosomal RNA
Source: RNAcentral